RNAcentral lists this ribosomal RNA (243 nucleotides) under uncultured bacterium. RNAcentral describes it as "partial 16S ribosomal RNA". It matches the Rfam family "Bacterial small subunit ribosomal RNA", at positions 94 to 334 of the family's 1533-position model. The record is from RNAcentral.
AGCGGCGGACGGGUGAGUAACGCGUGGGUAACCGUGCCUCAUACAGGGGAGUAACAGUUGGAAACGGACUGCUAAUACCGCAUAAGCGCACAGUACCGCAUGGUACCGUGUGAAAAACUACCGGUGGUAUGAGAUGGACCCGCGUCUGAUUAGCUAGUUGGUGGGGUAACGGCCUACCAAGCCGACGAUCAGUAGCCGACCUGAGAGGGUGACCGGCCACAUUGGGACUGAGACACGGCCCAA